GCAGUGGUGGUUCAGUAGUGGAAUUCUCACCUUCCAUGUUGGAGACCUGGGUUUGAGUCCUGGCCAGGGCA
RNAcentral lists this transfer RNA (71 nucleotides) under Loxodonta africana (African savanna elephant). It matches the Rfam family "tRNA". From Rfam's summary of the family: Transfer RNA (tRNA) molecules are approximately 80 nucleotides in length. Their secondary structure includes four short double-helical elements and three loops (D, anti-codon, and T loops). The record is from Rfam by way of RNAcentral. Lineage: Eukaryota; Metazoa; Chordata; Mammalia; Proboscidea; Elephantidae.